AAGAAUUUGAAACCCAAUCAAAUCCCUAAUGAUAAAAAAACAAUAAUUUGUUAUCUACAGUAUCAAAAUCAUUGAUUCAUCAAGAAUCUUGGUUACUAGUCAACAAGAAUCGAUAAAUUCUGAACCAAAGAAAAUUCUGGAUUCCUCUGCUUUUGGCUGCUGCGGUGGAAGAGAGAGAAAAGUAGAAUAAAACGUGGGAAAAAGAGAGGUGAAAU
This 215-nucleotide unclassified non-coding RNA is filed under the name Hevea brasiliensis (rubber tree). The record is from RNAcentral. Lineage: Eukaryota; Viridiplantae; Streptophyta; Magnoliopsida; Malpighiales; Euphorbiaceae.